CAAAUACCCAUCUCUCUCUGCAUACACCACCGCCGCCACUACCUCCACCUCCAUCUCCGAUGACCUACAUCCCAUUUUAAUCUUCAUCUAUACACCCAUCAAUUUUUCUCUCUUAGUCUGUCAUACACAUUUAGACUAUAUCUCUCUGUACCCAGCUAGAAGUAUAUAACCUAAAUCCUAGUUUGAUCGGCCACCCCACUACCAUAAACCACCACCACCAUCUACUUUCUUCAACAUCGGCGCCCAGAACCUGUUCCAUCGGCGAUACGCUCUCGCCGGCAACCAUGAAGCCACCGGUUACCCCACCUCCUUGAAAAUCCGGCCUCUUUUCUGUCGUCCCUUCCAAGGAGAUAUUGGAUGAUGUAUUUGCUUAGGGAAACAAUAGAUUUUGGGUAUUGUUUCGUGGUCUCCGGGAAAACGCCUUUUUUGUCGGAAUCAUUGGAGACUGGGACAGCGGUUAUUGUGGUUGUUCGAACCUAUAACCGACAACGAUGUUGAUGAUGAAGGCAAUUUAUAAGACCACCAUCGCCGGCAUACACACCGCACCAAAUCGGAAAAAGGGUCUCGCCGGAAUCUAAAUCAGUUUCUCUCUCUAAACAAACAUACACAAGGUCAUCACAUUAAUCAUCUUUCCUUAUGGAAGAAAGAGAGAUCCCAAACUUACCUACCUCUAUCAGCUUCUCUAUUCCCAGUUUCAAUUAUUAGUGGAGUAACAACAUGAGAAGAUGAGGAUGCAAUUUGUCUUGGUUGUGGAUAAAAAAUGAUUCGCGGAUGUCAUUUGCUGAUCUCAAGUGUCACUGUCAUGCUGCCGUCGUCUUUCUAAUCUUAAAAUCUCAACAACAAUCGAGCUACCACACAUAGCAACCCCACACCCUACAAAUGUUGCAAGCAGGAUCGACAAAACAGGCUGCACAUCACGGCAUUCGAAAGACAACUACAUAGUGAGUGUGUUUUCAUGUGUGAAAGAUACGAAUGAACUUUGUGGGCUGGGCUGCUUACCACAUAGUAGAAAAUAUGUGCGAAGACUACCACAAAAGCGAACUGAAUUGAUGCACAUAACCACUCGAAUCUUCUUCUCACUGUAAAGAGAUCAGAAAUUUAUGAUUACAUAGUAGAAAUAUGUACGGAUGAACUUUGUGUCUAGUCAGGUUGCCUGAAACACAUGUUUGACAAUUUUUGAAAUUUUAGUGAACAAUUAACAGUGUUAAUUAUGA
This is a long non-coding RNA of Helianthus annuus (common sunflower), 1214 nucleotides long. RefSeq lists it as uncharacterized. Lineage: Eukaryota; Viridiplantae; Streptophyta; Magnoliopsida; Asterales; Asteraceae. The transcript has 2 exons. The record is from RefSeq and is a predicted model, not a curated record.